This 2220-nucleotide long non-coding RNA is filed under the name Homo sapiens (human). RNAcentral's name for it is "HSALNT0274322". The record is from RNAcentral. Lineage: Eukaryota; Metazoa; Chordata; Mammalia; Primates; Hominidae.
GGAUGGGGCCCACAGUCCCCCUGCAGCGCCUGGUGCCCACAGCCCCCAACACCUAUUGCUUGGGCUGAGACCCUCUGAUGUCUAGAAUUUAAUUAACAACAAAUUCUCAUGAUGAAACUCUUGCAUAAUGGAAACACAAACAACUGAUUGGAACCAGGAACAGGUGUAUGAGUCACCUGCUUAGGAGUAUUAACAGGAAGCCCAAAAAAACCCCCAAGAAACCUGAUCAGCAUGCUGAGGAAGAAGGCACAUGGAAGAAAAAUCAAGCAAUCAAACACACUAGGGUUCUACUGACCCUGGGGAAAUCCAAUAUUUCAAAAGUGAGAUUCUGAAAUAGUUUAGAUUUCAAACUUUGAUUCUUCUGAAUACAGAUUUCAAAUGUAAGUGAUGUUCAAAGUCUCUGAGGUGCCCCCAGGUCUUGUCAGUCCUUCCUUCCUUUCUUCCUUGUUGAAGGAAGAAGCUGAGGCAGAAUUGAUGUAGAGACUGUGCGUGGGCUAAAGUUGAGGACAGCAAGACACACUUCCACAUUGCCUUGCACGAAGGCAGCUUUGACAUUGCGAGACAAUGAACACACAAACAGAAAACAGCCAGACCAAAUAUGGGAAGAGAACUCUGAGCCACAGCGACUGUCCAGAGGCCAAACCUCAACUUUCACGGCUAGCCAGAAGCUUUCUGCCCAGGCCAACCAGUUUGAAGAGCCCCACAGAGGAAGUGAACCAGCAUGAGAAUACAGCAUCUUCAACCCCACCCCAUGACUCCACCCUGCUUCACCCUGCACUUCUCCACCGGCUUUUCCCCGGCUCUGCCCCCGCCUGCUGAGGAAUCUCGGUCAACACAAGAGAGGACGGCGACUCCCUUGUACAGCAAGUCCUGAAUAAAUCGUCUUUUGUUCUCAUUUGCGUGGGCUUUAUUUCCACAGCUGUUAUCCUCCUAUUUGUAAAACGGAGGCACCUGGGACCAGCUCCAGCAAGGAGAGUGAGGAUCCGACUCCAGGAAGCACCUCAGGAACAAAGGCCUCAAGGCCAACACCUUCCACGGCACAAGCCCAACAGAGCUGCAGGAACCGUACAAGCAGCGGGAACAUCCCUUUCUCUUCUUGACUAUGUUUUCCCCUGAUGCUUUGCUUUCCACAUAGAAGAGUUUUCCAUUUUCGUGGGGUCAACUCUGCCUUCACUCAUUCAACAAUGAUGGGGGGCUCUGCCCCGCUCCCCCCAGGCUUCAACCACACCUGACUGCCCACCCCUUUGGGCCCUUCCCUGAAGUGACAGACCAGGCUGUGCCCUGGCAGGUAAGAGAAAGGACCCCACAACCCAUUCAUGGGCCGCUCCAGCUGGGGCCUUGCAUGCAGGAGCGGACCAGUCCCCCUGAGGGACAGCCCUUGGGUGGGGGCUCUGGGUCAUUUUGAGGAGUCAAUCACACCAACAGGUGCCUAGCACAGGCCCCACCCCCACCCCAAAUAAGGCAAGCGACCCUUCCCUUCCGCAGGUGGUCCAGUCUAACAGAAACCCUAAACCAAAGGGACUGUGUGGUGGCUCAAGCCUGUCAUCCCAGCACUUUGGGGGAUGGAUCGAUUUUAGCCUAGGAGUUCAAGACCAGCCUGGGCAAUAUAGUGAGACUCCAUCUCUACAAAAACACUUUUUAAAAAAAUUAGGGGUGCAGUGGUUUAUGCCAAUAAUCCCAGCACUUUGGGAGGCCGAGGUGGACAGAUCGCUCAGAAGUUCCAGACCAGCCUGGGUAACAUGGUGAAACUCUCUGUCUCUAUAUAUGUGUGUGGUAGGGUGGGCCUGUGGUCCCAGCUACUAUAGCAGCUGAGGUGGGAAGAUCGCUUGAGCCCAGGAGGUCCAGGCUGCAAUGAGUUGUGAUCAGGCCACUGCACCCCAGCCUGGCCAACAGAGCAAGACUCUGUCAAAAAAAAAAAAAAGAAAGAAAGAAAAGAGGUCAGGUACGGUGGCUCACGCCUGUAAUUCCAGCACUUUGGGAGCCCGAGGCAGGUGGAUCACGAGGUCAGGAGUUCGAGACCAGCCUGGCCAAUAUGGUGAAACCCCGUCUCUACUAAAAACACAAAAAUUAGCUGCGCAUGAAGGCGCGCGCCUGUAGUCCCAGCUACUCGGGAGGCCGAGGCAGGAGAAUGGUGUGAACCCCGGAGGCGGAGCUUGCAGUGAGCCGAGAUUGCGCCACUGCACUCCAGCCUAGGCGACAGAUCCAGACUCCGUCUCAAAA